Molecule: ribosomal RNA, 513 nt
Filed under: uncultured bacterium
Lineage: Bacteria
Description: partial 16S ribosomal RNA
Rfam family: Bacterial small subunit ribosomal RNA
Source: RNAcentral
GAUGAACGCUGGCGGCGUGCCUAAUACAUGCAAGUCGAGCGAACGGAUAAGGAGCUUGCUCCUUUGAAGUUAGCGGCGGACGGGUGAGUAACACGUGGGUGACCUACCUAUAAGACUGGAAUAACUUCGGGAAACCGGAGCUAAUGCCGGAUAACAUUUGGAACUGCAUGGUUCUAAAGUAAAAGAUGGUUUUGCUAUCACUUAUAGAUGGACCCGCGCCGUAUUAGCUAGUUGGUAAGGUAACGGCUUACCAAGGCAACGAUACGUAGCCGACCUGAGAGGGUGAUCGGCCACACUGGAACUGAGACACGGUCCAGACUCCUACGGGAGGCAGCAGUAGGGAAUCUUCCGCAAUGGACGAAAGUCUGACGGAGCAACGCCGCGUGAGUGAUGAAGGUUUUCGGAUCGUAAAACUCUGUUAUUAGGGAAGAACAAAUGUGUAAGUAACUGUGCACAUCUUGACGGUACCUAAUCAGAAAGCCACGGCUAACUUCGUGCCAGCCGCCGCUGUAA